This 73-nucleotide transfer RNA is filed under the name Felis catus (domestic cat). It matches the Rfam family "tRNA". Rfam says of the family: Transfer RNA (tRNA) molecules are approximately 80 nucleotides in length. RNAcentral also lists the same sequence under 2 other names. Lineage: Eukaryota; Metazoa; Chordata; Mammalia; Carnivora; Felidae. The record is from Rfam by way of RNAcentral.
ACCUGGCUGGCUCAGUUGGUACAGCAUGAAACUUUUGAUGUCAGGGUCAUGAGUUCAAGCCCCAUGCUGGGUG